RNAcentral lists this ribosomal RNA (255 nucleotides) under uncultured bacterium. Its description in RNAcentral is "partial 16S ribosomal RNA". It matches the Rfam family "Bacterial small subunit ribosomal RNA", at positions 526 to 779 of the family's 1533-position model. The record is from RNAcentral.
CGAAGGGGCGUAGCGUUGUUCGGAAUUACUGGGCGUAAAGGGCGCGUAGGCGGUACUUCAAGUCAGGCGUGAAAGCCCCGGGCUCAACCUGGGAACCGCGCUUGAGACUGGAGAACUAGAGUUCGGGAGAGGAUGGUGGAAUUCCCAGUGUAGAGGUGAAAUUCGUAGAUAUUGGGAAGAACACCGAUGGCGAAGGCAGCCAUCUGGACCGACACUGACGCUGAGGCGCGAAAAGCGUGGGGAGCAAACAGGAUU